Molecule: ribosomal RNA, 272 nt
Filed under: uncultured bacterium
Lineage: Bacteria
Description: partial 16S ribosomal RNA
Rfam family: Bacterial small subunit ribosomal RNA
Source: RNAcentral
GUGCCAGCCGCCGCGGUAAUACGGAGGGUGCAAGCGUUAUCCGGAUUUAUUGGGUUUAAAGGGUGCGUAGGCGGUUUGAUAAGUCAGCGGUGAAAUAUUUCAGCUUAACUGGAAGGGUGCCGUUGAUACUGUCGAGCUUGAAUUUAGUUGCUGUGGGUGGAAUGUGUGGUGUAGCGGUGAAAUGCAUAGAUAUCACACAGAAUAUCGAUUGCGAAGGCAGCUCACAAAGCUAAUAUUGACGCUGAUGCACGAAAGUGUGGGGAUCAAACAGG